UGAGGAAUAUUGGUCAAUGGGCGAGAGCCUGAACCAGCCAAGUAGCGUGCAGGAUGACGGCCCUAUGGGUUGUAAACUGAUUUUAUGUGGGGAUAAAGUGCGUUACGUGUCAUGCAUUGCAGGUACCACAUGAAUAAGGACCGGCUAAUUCCGUGCCAGCAGCCGCGGUAAUACGGAAGGUCCGGGCGUUAUCCGGAUUUAUUGGGUUUAAAGGGAGCGUAGGCUGUCUAUUAAGCGUGGUGUGAAAUAUACCGGCUCAACCGGUGGCUUGCAGCGCGAACUGGUCGACUUGAGUAUGCAGGAAGUAGGCGGAAUUCAUGGUGUAGCGGUGAAAUGCUUAGAUAUCAUGACGUACUCCGAUUGCGAAGGCAGCUUACGGGAGUGUUACUGACGCUUAAGCUCGAAGGUGCGGGUAUCGAACAGG
Molecule: ribosomal RNA, 424 nt
Filed under: Verrucomicrobiota bacterium
Lineage: Bacteria; Pseudomonadati; Verrucomicrobiota
Description: Verrucomicrobia bacterium partial 16S ribosomal RNA
Rfam family: Bacterial small subunit ribosomal RNA
Source: RNAcentral